This is a small nucleolar RNA of Bactrocera tryoni, 212 nucleotides long. RefSeq annotates it as small nucleolar RNA U3. The transcript has a single exon. The record is from RefSeq and is a predicted model, not a curated record. NCBI's taxonomy places the organism in Eukaryota, Metazoa, Arthropoda, Insecta, Diptera, Tephritidae.
AAGGCUAUACUUUACAGGAUCAUUUCUGUAGGUAGUCUUCAUUUAAAUUUUUUGGAAAUCGACCCGCGAUGACGAGUUAUAUCGUUUUAUCUGACAGCGUGAGGUUUAUGAACUUCAUUUCUAAUAUUGUGUUGUGGCAUAUUAGAAAUGAUGUUUCUUCGAAUUCUUCGAAAAGCGCUCGCUUACAACGGAUAAAACGACUUCUGAGUGGU